RNAcentral lists this ribosomal RNA (635 nucleotides) under uncultured bacterium. RNAcentral describes it as "bacterial SSU rRNA". The stretch from base 1 to 545 matches the Rfam family "Bacterial small subunit ribosomal RNA", at positions 338 to 873 of the family's 1533-position model. The record is from RNAcentral.
CCUACGGGAGGCAGCAGUAGGGAAUCUUCCGCAAUGGACGAAAGUCUGACGGAGCAACGCCGCGUGAACGAUGAAGGCCUUCGGGUCGUAAAGUUCUGUUGUUAGGGAAGAACAAGUGCUAGUUGAAUAAGCUGGCACCUUGACGGUACCUAACCAGAAAGCCACGGCUAACUACGUGCCAGCAGCCGCGGUAAUACGUAGGUGGCAAGCGUUGUCCGGAAUUAUUGGGCGUAAAGCGCGCGCAGGCGGUUUCUUAAGUCUGAUGUGAAAGCCCCCGGCUCAACCGGGGAGGGUCAUUGGAAACUGGGAAACUUGAGUGCAGAAGAGGAAAGUGGAAUUCCAAGUGUAGCGGUGAAAUGCGUAGAGAUUUGGAGGAACACCAGUGGCGAAGGCGACUUUCUGGUCUGUAACUGACGCUGAGGCGCGAAAGCGUGGGGAGCAAACAGGAUUAGAUACCCUGGUAGUCCACGCUGUAAACGAUGAGUGCUAAGUGUUAGAGGGUUUCCGCCCUUUAGUGCUGAAGUUAACGCAUUAAGCACUCCGCCUUGGGGGAGGUACGGUCGCGAGACAGAACGUACAAUAGAAGUUAGUACGGCGUGAGACGUACGCCGACGGACGACCGACGAGGGAGGAGG